GCCCUGGGGGCGGGCUCUGCGGCCUGUGGCUGCAGAGGGACGCAAGAGCAUAAACUGAAAUCCCACAUCCCCGUGGAGGAACUUGGAGAUAAGAUGCAAAGCGCAGCAAAUAGGAGCCACUCUUUCAGAGAUGACAGACCACCUGGUUUCGAGGAGCAGCAGACAGCGUGAAUGAAUGAAGUUGGCCAGUUCUGUGUGUUGACUGGAAUCACCUGGGAAGUUUUAGUCCUGUGAUACCACCUGGAACCACAGCAUUCAGAGUGAACAGACAACCUACAGAAUGGGAGAAAAUUUUUGCAAUCUAUCCAUCUGACAAAUGGCUAAUAUCCUGAAUCUACAAAAAACUCCAACAAAUUUAUAAGAAAAAAACAAACAACCCCAUCAAAAAGUGGGUGAAGGAUACAAACAGACACUUCUCAAAAGAAGACAUUUAUGUGGCCAAAAAAAUAUGAAAAAAAACUCAUCAUCACUGGUCAUUAGAGAAAUGCAAAUCAAAACCACAAUGAGAUACCAUCUCAUGCCAGUUAGAAUGGCGAUCAUUAAAAAGUCAGGAAACAACAGAUGCUGGAGAGGAUGUGAAGAAAUAGGAACACUUUUACACUGUUGGUGGGAGUGUAAAUUAGUUCAACCACUGUGGAAGACAGUGUGGCAAUUCCUCAAGGAUCUAGAACCAGAAAUACCAUUUGACCCAGCCAUCCCAUUACUGGAUAUAUACCCAAAGGACACAUGCACACGUAUGUUUAUUGCAGCACUAUUCACAAUAUCAAAGACUUGGAACCAACCCAGAUGCCCAUCAAUGACAGACUGGAUAAAGAAAAUGUUGCACAUAUACACCAUGGAAUACUAUGCAGCCAUAAAAAGAAUGAGUUCAUGUCCUUUGUAGGGACAUAGAUGAAGCUGGAAACCAUCAUUCUCAGCAAACUAACACAGGAACAGAGAACAAAACACCACAUGUUCUCACUCAUAAGUGGGAGCUGAACAAUGAGAACACAUGGACACAGGGAGGGGAACACCACACACUGGGCCUGUUUGGGGGUGGGGGGUUGGGGAGGGAUAGCAUUGGGAGAAAUACCUAAUGUAGAUGAUGGGUUGACAGGUGCAGCAAACCACCAUGGCAGGUGUACACUUAUGUAACAAACCUGUACUUUCUGCACAUGUAUCCCAGAACUUAAUGUAUAACAAUAAAUAAAUAAAUAAAAGGAUUUUUUUGCUACAAUGCAUAGCUCGAAAACUUUAAAAA
Molecule: long non-coding RNA, 1240 nt
Filed under: Homo sapiens (human)
Lineage: Eukaryota; Metazoa; Chordata; Mammalia; Primates; Hominidae
Description: HSALNT0337621
Source: RNAcentral